This is a non-coding RNA of Triticum aestivum (bread wheat), 128 nucleotides long. Lineage: Eukaryota; Viridiplantae; Streptophyta; Magnoliopsida; Poales; Poaceae. The record is from Rfam.
CAAAUACUCCCUCCGUCCCAAAAUUAUUGUCUUAGAUUUGUCUAAAUAUGGAUGUAUCAAGUCACAUUUUGAUACAUCCGUAUGUUGACAAAUCUAAGACAAGAAUUUUGGGACGAAUGGAGUAGAAU